Molecule: microRNA precursor, 142 nt
Filed under: Linum usitatissimum (flax)
Lineage: Eukaryota; Viridiplantae; Streptophyta; Magnoliopsida; Malpighiales; Linaceae
Description: miR399d stem-loop (lus-MIR399d)
Gene: lus-MIR399d
Rfam family: mir-399 microRNA precursor family (bases 15-127)
About the family: mir-399 was identified in both Arabidopsis thaliana and Oryza sativa computationally and was later experimentally verified. mir-399 is thought to target mRNAs coding for a phosphatase transporter. The mature sequence is excised from the 3' arm of the hairpin.
Source: miRBase by way of RNAcentral
GAGCUCUGUGUGGUUGAGGAAUAACAGGGCAGUCCUCCUUUGGCGGACUGAAAUCAUGCUAAUUGGAGAAAUCAUGCAUGCAAUACCCUUCUGCUUUGCCAAAGGAGAAUUGCCCUGCCAUUUCCCUCCCACCAAAAUCCUC